Molecule: non-coding RNA, 23 nt
Filed under: Arabidopsis thaliana (thale cress)
Lineage: Eukaryota; Viridiplantae; Streptophyta; Magnoliopsida; Brassicales; Brassicaceae
Source: RNAcentral
GAGAUUUUGCUGUAGCUGUGUUG